AGCACAGCACCUGUCGCCGGGUUUGGGGGAACAAAGGCCGCCCUCCUGGCCUGGGACCCUCAGGGCAAGAGAGUCCCCGGGUGUCCCCAGGCCUUGGAGACUGGACAGACGCGUGGGCGCUGUCUCCAGAGGGGAGGGACCCAACGCCUCGGGAGUGGACUGAAGCUGGGGAAAAACACGAGCUUUUCCUGAGAAGAGGUCCCAGCCAAGGAAGGGGGGCUGCGAUGGGACUUGGGGGUGCCUGGUAGGCGAGAGAAAGGGCUCCUGGGUGGCCUUCAGAGAGGCCUUUGAAGAGUGCACCCAGGAGCACCCGCAACUGCAGAUGGAGGAGAAGCAGCCGCAGCCCACGUGGUCACAGCAUCCCCACAGGGAAGCCCUGGGCCGGGAGAGGCCGGGAGAGGCCGGGAGAGGCCGGGGCGCCCCCCGUGACCCACUGGACGGCUGGUCCGCGGCGGGGGAGCUCCGAGACGCACCGGCAGCCGCUGCGCACAGAGAAUGAGCAUCCUCUGGUAACAUCCACCCGGGUCAGUAAAGAUCAGCAGAAGCAUCUUGGAAACUUCCUUACAUCUCCAACCUGCAUUACCUGUCUAGAUUGAAAUGCCGAUCUCCUCUGGAAACACGCUCACAGACACACCUAGAACAAUGCUUGGCCAAAUAUCCGUGCAUCUCGCGACCUGGUGAAGUUGGCACGUGAAAUUAACCACCACAGAACCUGGCUGCUGACUACGCUUCUUCUUCCAUCCUGGUGACUUCUCUCUCCUCAAUUCCAGUUUCAGAAGUGCUCUGCUCUUGUUCUCUGAGCCCGCUCUGCCUGCCCUGCAAAUGCAUUUCAGGAGCAGAAGGGAAUAGACUAUGGAUGCCCUUCCAGACCAAAACACAAAUCCCCAACAAAGAGGAACUCUUGGCUGACCAGAAGUGUCCUCAAAGCUUCUCUUAGAAUCUGAAUUCAAAGCUGCCAUGAACUAACUCUGGCUGAACCUGAGACCGAGGCCCAGUGCCCAGAAAAAGCCUGCAACUCUGUAGGCCAGAUUCAUGGAGACUGCCAGGCAGCACGGAGCCCAGGGGACUGAGCCCUCAUUGUACGAUGGCAGUGACUGCCGGCUGAUGGGGCGUGGAGGAGGUUGGAGUCCAUGGCAACCCAGGGUGGGCUGGCUGCCGGCUGGGGAGGAGAUGUCAGGGUGAGGACAGGAAAACAAAUAAGCCCAGUGCUCCUUCUCCAUUACGAAUCACGAAGAUUCAAUCUUCUAUUGAGAGAAAAAUGCCCCACCAUCAUUCUGACUCCCUGCAGAGGAAUGUCUCUUGGGUCUUUAGCAUCUGUAACUGACAGCAGGGGAUUGUGACCUCAUGGUAAGUUUGGGACUUUAAAAUGUUAACUAGCUAACCCAUAUUGAAAGUGACAGGCACAGCGUGUCUGGUCCCCACCAAAUACUAAUUGCUGUGGUAGGAAAAAGUGUCAGGGUCAUACAAACUGUCAUCCUUUGGCAUGUGUUUCUAUUGUACACAAGCUGGUCACAUUCUUUGUCCCCACAUGUUUUAAAUCAAGGAAUAAAUAGAAAUAGAAUAUUUAGCUUCAAAUCUCUCUCACAUUUGGCACACAAUGUUACCACAAAGCAUUCAGGUCCCAGCUCCUUUCUCGGGGGUAGCUACUCUGGAGCCUGAAAGGAGUUUGCAAUCUUACCUGGGCUCCCUUACCAUGGCCAAUGGAAUGGAGCCUCUGAGGUGAUCCCAUUUGUCUUGCUCAUUUCUCUCUCCUGGUCCGUGUCUUCCUUCUUUCUCUGAUCCUAGAACCAUAGCUCCCAGGCUCCACGGGAACAGAAUCAGGACAGGCCCCUUUCCUUCUUCCCCCUGCUUGAAAGACCAUGAGGACCUUGAUAUGGUUUGGGGAUGUCCCCACCCAAAUCUCAUCUCGACCUAUAGUUCCCAUAAUCCUUAUGUAUUGUGUAAGGGGGACCCAGUGAAAAGCAAUUGAAUCAUGAGGGUGGUUACCCCCGUACUGUUCUCACGGUAGGGAGUGAGUUCUCAGGAGAUCUAAUGGUUUUGUAAGGGGCUUUCCCCUUUAUUCAGGACUCAUUGUCUCUCUUUCUGCCCUGCAAAGCAGUGUCUUCUGCCAUUAUUGUAAGUUUCCCGGGGCUUCCCUAUCCCUGUGGAACUGUGAGUCAAUUAAACCUCUUUUCUUUAUAAAUUACCCAGUCUUGGGUAUUUCUUCACAGUAGCGUGAGAAAGAACUAAUACAGUAAAUUGAUACUGAGGGAGUAGGGUGCUGCUUCAGGGAUACCCAAAAUGUGAAAGCAACUUUGGAGCUGGGAAACAGUCAGAAGUUGAAAAAGUCUGAAGGCCUCAGAAGAAGGCAGAAAAAUGUGGGAAAGUUUGAAGGCCUCAGGGGAAGACAGAAAAAUAUGGAAAGAGACUUGGAGGGGCCAGAAGACAGGAAGAUGUGGGAAAGUUUGGAACUUCCUAGAAACUUGUUGAAUGUUUUUGACCAAAAUGCUGAUAGUGAUAUUGGCAAUAAAAUCUAGGCUGAGGUGAUCUCAGAUGAAGAUGAGAAACCUGAUGGAAACUGGAGCAAAGGUGGCUCUCAAUGUACUUUAUCAAAGAGACUUGCAGUAUUUUGCUCCCGCUCUAGAGAUUUGUGGAACUUUGAACUUGGGAGAGAUGAUCUGAAACUAAAACUUAUGUUUAAAAGAGAAGCAGACCAGGCCGGGCGCGGUGGCUCACGCCUGUGAUCCCAGCACUUUGGGAGGCCGAGGCGGGUGGAUCAUGAGGUCAGGAGAUCGAGACUAUCCUGGUCAACAUGGUGAAACCCCGUCUCUACUAAAAAUACAAAAAAUUAGCUGGGCAUGGUGGCACAUGCCUGUAAUCACAGCUACUCAGGAGGCUGAGGCAGGAGAAUUGCCUGAACCCAGGAGGAAGAGGUUGCGGUGAGCCUAGAUCGUGCCAUUGCACUCCAGCCUGGGUAACAAGAGCAAAACUCCGUGUCAAAAAAAAAAAAAGCAGAGCAUAAAAGUUUGAUAAAUUUGCAGCCUGAUGAUGCUAUACAAAAGAAAAACCCUCAUAUUCUCAGGAGAAAUUAAAGCUUUUGCAGAAAUUUGCAUAAGUAAAGAGAAGCCAAACUUUAAUAGCCAAGACAAUGGGAAAAGUCUCCAGCAAAUGUCAGAGGCAUAGUUGAGAUGGUUUCCCAGGCUGGGCCCAAGGCUCCGUUGCUCUGUGCUGCCUUAGGACAUGGUGCCCUGCAUCCCAGCUGCUUCAGUUCCAGUUGUGGCUUAAAGAGGUCAAGGUACAGCUUGGGUCAUUGCUUCAAAGGGUGCAAGCCCCAAGCCCUACAGCCUUCCAUAUGAUGUUGAGCCUGUGGGCACACAGAAGUCAAGAAUUGAGGUUUGAGAACCUCUGCCUAGAUUUCAGAGAAUGUAUGAAAAUGUCUGGAUGUCCAGGCUGAAGUUUGCUGCAGAGGUGGAGUCCUCUUGGAGAACCUCUGCCAGGGCAGUAUGAAAGAGAAAUGAGGGGCUGGAGGCCCCACACAGAGUCCCCCUGGAGCACUUCCUGGUGAAGCUGUGACAAGAAGACCACUGUCCUCCAGAACCCCAGGAAAUUAGACCCAUUAGCAGCUUGCACCAGGCACCUGGAAAAGCCACAGACGCUUAAUGCUAGCCCAUGAAAACAGCCAGGAGGGGGGCUGUACCCUGUAAAGCCAUGGAGGCAGAGCUGCCCAAGGCCUUGGGAGCUGCUUCUUUCAUCAGCAUGACCUGGAUGUGAGACAUGGAAUCAAAGGAGAUCACUCUGGAACUUUAACGUUUAAUGACUGUCCUAUUGGAUUUCAGACUUGCACAGGGGAUAUAGCCCUCUGUUUUCACCAAUUCCUCCCAUUUGAAUGGGUAUAUUUACUCGAUGCUUGUACUCCUCAUUGUAUCUAGGUAGUAAGUGACUUGCUUUCAACGUUAUAGGCUCUGAAGCAGAAAGGACUUGCUUUGUCUCAGAUUUGACUUUAGACUUGGAAUUUUGGGUUAAUGCAGGAAUGAACUAAGACUUUGGGGGACUGCUCAAAAGGAAUUUGUGUUUUGAAAUGUGAGGACAUGAGAUUUGGGAGGGGCUAAGGGCAAAACAUUGUUUGGAAGUGUCCCCAUUCAAACCUUAUGUUGAAUUGUAGUUCCCAUAAUCCCCACAUGCCGUGGGAAGGGCCUGAUAGGAGGUAAUUGAAUCAUGUAUGCAAUUACCCCCAUGCUGUUCUCACAAUAGUGAGUGAAUUCUCACUGGAUCUGAUAGCUUCAUAAGGGGCUUUUCUCCUUUGUUUGGCACUCGUUCUCUCUUCUGCUGCCCUGUGAAGAAGUGGCUUCUGCCAUGAUUGUAAGUUUCCUGAGGCCACCCCAACCCUGUGGAACUGUGAGUAGAUUAUACCCCUUUCCUGUACAACUUACCCAGUCUCAGGCAGUUCUUAAUAGCACAUGAGAAUGAACUAAUACAGAUCUCCUGCCUGACUCAACCUCCCUUUCAUGGAGAAGUAGUGCUUUGACCCUUCACCCCAAUGUGUGAUAAGGUCAUCUACUCACAGUGGCUUUCUUAUCAUUUCCAUCAAGGGCAAUCCUGCUCUUCAAUACCCGGUAGUAGGAUAAACAGCCUCUUCACACUGCAGUCAGCGUUGGAAUAGACUGACUGCCACGGCCCACAUUUGCUUAUUUAUAUACAAAGAAAAUUAUUCAUGAGUAAAAGCUGGUGGGCACAGUAACUCAUGACUGUAAUCCCAGUGCUUUGCGAGGUGAAAGUGGGAAGAUCACUUAAAGCCAGGAGCUUGACACCAGUCUAGGCAACAGAACAAGACUUCAUCUCUACAAAAAGGAAAAAGACAGCUGGGCAUGAUUGUCCAUGACUGUGAUCCCAUCUUCUCAGGAGGCUGAGGCAGAAGGCUUGCCUGAUCCCAGAAAGAGACUGCGCAGUGAGGAGUUCCAGAGCAAAAGCUGCCUGGUCUGAAUGCAUUCUCUCCUUGCCAUGAUCGUUUCCUUCUCAGUUUAGGUAUGUUUGGGGUACAUGUGCUAGCAGGAGGGGAUGGAGGGUCUGGUGCUGUCCUGGAGUCUGUAAUCUACUGGCUUUGCUCAAGACUACCGGGACUGGGAGCCAGUGAAGCAGAUAGGUUGAGCAGUCCUUUCUCUCCCGCAGACCUACAGGGAGGGCGGAGUGUACAUUCUAGAAAUUGUGCUUCCCCCACAGUGGUUCCUGAGAUCUGUCCCAGACCUCACUGGGACUCCAAUGAGAUUUCUUUUUUCUUUUUUUUUUGAGAUGGAGUUUCGCUCUUGUUACCCAGGCUGGAGUGCAAUGGCGCGAUCUCGGCUCACCGCAACCUCCACCUCCUGGGUUCAGGCAAUUCUCCUGCCUCAGCCUCCUGAGUAGCUGGGAUUACAGGCACGCGCCACCAUGCCCAGCUAAUUUUUUGUAUUUUUAGUAGAGACGGGGUUUUACCAUGUUGACCAGGAUGGUCUCGCUCUGUUGACCUCGUGAUCCACCCACCUCGGCCUCCCAAAGUGCUGGGAUUACAAGCAUGAGCCACCGUGUCCGGCCCACAAUGAGAUUUCUAUGCAAAGAGGAGUGUAAGCAGUCACCUCGCCUGACAGCAAAUGAGGUCAGUGACUCCCUUCCAUUCGGCAGGAACCUCUACCAGAGAAUCUAUGUGAUUUUCAGUAUUUAAUGAGUGUUCAGGAUUUGUGACCUGUGCUUUUACCUCCUAAUUUUUGCUGGCUAAUUCCACCUUGCACCUGCAAUUUUAGCCUCAGAGCCCAGGUCUGUGUCGGGACAAUUCUGUCUUGAUAUGACGUGUAUGACAAACCUUCUUUUUGGUUUCAUGACUCAACAGGUUCUAAUUCUGUGGUUUGCAAGUUUGAUAUUAUUUUGGCAAUUGUAUCAAAUGCCGGGGAAAUAAGGAAAGAGGUUCCUUCCUUGACCUUUAGUACGUAAGUGCCCUUGUAGUUUUUGCAAUAGGAACACAUCACAGGUAAUACAACCUCCACCCCUGGCUUUCUUCCCCCUUCUAACUGGACCCCGUUCUAACUCACCUGCUGAGUUCCCCUUGAGGUGCUCCCUCAGGCAGAAGGACAGGUCAGGACAGAGCAGCCCUUCCACUGGGACCAGAUAGUCGUUAGGAACCACAGGCAGCUCACCUUCCACUCCUAUAACAGCCACCAGGCUUUACUUCCUUGCAAUGGGCCGGAUGAUGAGAUUUUUCAGCUUCAAGGGCAGUGUGGUUUCUGCUGCAGCUCUGCAGUUGGCGGGGAAGCAGCCACAGCCAUGUAUAAGUGAACGGGCAUGGCUGUGUUCCAAUAAAAUAUAUUUAUGGACUUUGAAAUUUGAAUAUUACAUAAUAAUCAUGUAUCACAAAACAUUAUGUUUCUUUUGAUUCUUUAGGAAAACAUUUAAAGGUGUAAAACCAUUCCUUGCUUGUGGACCUGAUAAAUGCAGAUUUUUCUUACUGAACUCUGCCAGAAACUGUGAGAAGAAAACGGUCACAUGUGUUGAGCUUGCCCUCUUCAGUGCUUUCUUCCCUGGGGUCUGGGGUCUCAGGUUUCAGCAGAGCUCUGUUAGCAUGCAGAGUCCCUGAGCAAUAGAUGCCGAGACACUAUCAGGUGAUCCCUAUAACUUCAGUUAAUAUACUGAAUUAGGUUCUUACAAGCAUGUGUAGCAGUAACAGUGAUCUCACGGUUUAUUUAAAACUAUCUGGGUGAGAUAUCUGCAGAGGUUUACCAUGCCUUAGUAAACAGCAGAUGGUUUAUCAAUAAAACAUUUUUUAUUAUG
Non-coding RNA from Callithrix jacchus (white-tufted-ear marmoset), 6771 nucleotides. The record is from RefSeq and is a predicted model, not a curated record. NCBI's taxonomy places the organism in Eukaryota, Metazoa, Chordata, Mammalia, Primates, Cebidae.